This 250-nucleotide ribosomal RNA is filed under the name uncultured bacterium. RNAcentral's name for it is "partial 16S ribosomal RNA". It matches the Rfam family "Bacterial small subunit ribosomal RNA", at positions 524 to 774 of the family's 1533-position model. RNAcentral also lists the same sequence under 1 other name. The record is from RNAcentral.
UACGUAUGUCACGAGCGUUAUCCGGAUUUAUUGGGCGUAAAGCGCGUCUAGGUGGUUAUGUAAGUCUGAUGUGAAAAUGCAGGGCUCAACUCUGUAUUGCGUUGGAAACUGUAUAACUAGAGUACUGGAGAGGUAAGCGGAACUACAAGUGUAGAGGUGAAAUUCGUAGAUAUUUGUAGGAAUGCCGAUGGGGAAGCCAGCUUACUGGACAGAUACUGACGCUGAAGCGCGAAAGCGUGGGUAGCAAACA